AGAUUGAACGCUGGCGGCGUGCCUAACACAUGCAAGUCGAGCGGUAACAGGUGUAGCAAUACAUGCUGACGAGCGGCGAACGGGUGAGUAAUGCUUUGGAAUCUUCCCAGUAGUGGGGAAUAACCAGUCGAAAGAUUGGCUAAUACCGCAUACGUCUGUAAAGGGAAAGCGGGGGCUCGUAAGACCUCGCGCUAUUGGAUGAGCCAAAGUCGGAUUAGCUAGUUGGUGGGGUAAUGGCCUACCAAGGCGACAAUCCGUAGCUGGUCUGAGAGGACGACCAGCCACACCGGAACUGAGACACGGUCCGGACUCCUACGGGAGGCAGCAGUGGGGGAAUAUUGGACAAUGGGGGAAACCCUGAUCCAGCGACGCCGCGUGUGUGAAGAAGGCCUGCGGGUUGUAAAGCACUUUUAGUGGGGACAAAAAGCUACGGAUUAAUACUCUGUGGUCUUGAUUUAACCCAAAGAAAAGCACCGGCUAACUCUGCGCCAGCAGCCGCGGU
This 502-nucleotide ribosomal RNA is filed under the name uncultured bacterium. Its description in RNAcentral is "SSU rRNA". It matches the Rfam family "Bacterial small subunit ribosomal RNA", at positions 26 to 521 of the family's 1533-position model. The record is from RNAcentral.